RNAcentral lists this ribosomal RNA (1188 nucleotides) under Levilactobacillus brevis. RNAcentral describes it as "bacterial SSU rRNA". It matches the Rfam family "Bacterial small subunit ribosomal RNA", at positions 227 to 1398 of the family's 1533-position model. Lineage: Bacteria; Bacillati; Bacillota; Bacilli; Lactobacillales; Lactobacillaceae. The record is from RNAcentral.
GAUCCCGCGGCGUAUUAGUUAGUUGGUGAGGUAAAGGCCCACCAAGACGAUGAUACGUAGCCGACCUGAGAGGGUAAUCGGCCACAUUGGGACUGAGACACGGCCCAAACUCCUACGGGAGGCAGCAGUAGGGAAUCUUCCACAAUGGACGAAAGUCUGAUGGAGCAAUGCCGCGUGAGUGAAGAAGGGUUUCGGCUCGUAAAACUCUGUUGUUAAAGAAGAACAACUUUGAGAGUAACUGUUCAAGGGUUGACGGUAUUUAACCAGAAAGCCACGGCUAACUACGUGCCAGCAGCCGCGGUAAUACGUAGGUGGCAAGCGUUGUCCGGAUUUAUUGGGCGUAAAGCGAGCGCAGGCGGUUUUUUAAGUCUGAUGUGAAAGCCUUCGGCUUAACCGGAGAAGUGCAUCGGAAACUGGGAGACUUGAGUGCAGAAGAGGACAGUGGAACUCCAUGUGUAGCGGUGGAAUGCGUAGAUAUAUGGAAGAACACCAGUGGCGAAGGCGGCUGUCUAGUCUGUAACUGACGCUGAGGCUCGAAAGCAUGGGUAGCGAACAGGAUUAGAUACCCUGGUAGUCCAUGCCGUAAACGAUGAGUGCUAAGUGUUGGAGGGUUUCCGCCCUUCAGUGCUGCAGCUAACGCAUUAAGCACUCCGCCUGGGGAGUACGACCGCAAGGUUGAAACUCAAAGGAAUUGACGGGGGCCCGCACAAGCGGUGGAGCAUGUGGUUUUAAUUCGAAGCUACGCGGAAGAACCUUACCAGGGUCUUGGACAUCUUCUGCCAAUCUUAGAGAUAAGACGUUCCCUUCGGGGACAGAAUUGACAGGUGGGUGCAUGGUUGUCGUCAGCUCGUGUCGUGAGAUGUUGGGUUAAGUCCCGCAACGAGCGCAACCCUUAUUAUCAGUUGCCAGCAUUCAGUUGGCACUCUGGUGAGACUGCCGGUGACAAACCGGAGGAAGGUGGGGAUGACGUCAAAUCAUCAUGCCCCUUAUGACCUGGGCUACACACGUGCUACAAUGGACGGUACAACGAGUCGCGAAGUCGUGAGGCCUAGGCCUAAUCUCUUAAAGCCGUUCUCAGUCCGGAAUUGUAGGCUGUCAACUCGCCUACAUGAAGUUGGAAUCGCUAGUAAUCGCGGAUCAGCAUGCCGCGGUGAAUACGUUCCCUGGGCCUUGUACACCCCGCCCGUC